This is a non-coding RNA of Podarcis lilfordi (Lilford's wall lizard), 77 nucleotides long. The record is from the annotation of a GenBank genome assembly. Lineage: Eukaryota; Metazoa; Chordata; Lepidosauria; Squamata; Lacertidae.
AUUCCUGUUGCGCAGUGGGUCAGUGUGUCUGACUGUCAGCCAGAAGGUUGGUGGUUCAAGAAGCCCACCCAGGGAUG